UUAUUUUCGUGCGCUUGCACAGCAGAGCGGAGCCAGCGUCACCGAACGCCCUCCUUUGUUUACUGUUUACAGUGAAAGUUUAGCACAUUUUGAGUGUUUCGUCGUUCUUCAACCCGCCGGUGUGCAACUUGUUCCUUUUUAUGAACAAAUGCUUCUCUCGGUGAAAGUUAUUCGUAUUUAUUAUUAUUUUGUUUCAUUUCGACGAAUCGUAGAAAAUCUGUCACUUCGUUUAUUCGCCAGUCAGCGUUCGAGAUUACGUGUACGAGUUCACUUACACUCUUCCAGUGACAUAACCAAAUCUUACUUCACACUCCACGACUAUGAUUCGAACGUACGUUUCCUCGGCGAGCGUCACGUGCUAAUUUGAAGUCCAUUAUCCGACCGAAAGCUCCUUAACGGUAAAAAUUGAUGAGAUUUUAAUGAGGUCCACCCCCCUUCACACGAAACUUCAAAGCGCAUCGUUUCUUAAUCGAGCUAUUAGCACGGUUUACCAAA
Venturia canescens is the source of this 495-nucleotide long non-coding RNA. RefSeq lists it as uncharacterized. The record is from RefSeq and is a predicted model, not a curated record. The transcript is spliced from 2 exons. Lineage: Eukaryota; Metazoa; Arthropoda; Insecta; Hymenoptera; Ichneumonidae.